This 74-nucleotide transfer RNA is filed under the name Faecalimonas nexilis. Its description in RNAcentral is "tRNA-Ile". It matches the Rfam family "tRNA". From Rfam's summary of the family: Transfer RNA (tRNA) molecules are approximately 80 nucleotides in length. Their secondary structure includes four short double-helical elements and three loops (D, anti-codon, and T loops). Lineage: Bacteria; Bacillati; Bacillota; Clostridia; Lachnospirales; Lachnospiraceae. RNAcentral also lists the same sequence under 9 other names. The record is from RNAcentral.
GGACCUUUAGCUCAGUUGGUUAGAGCAAUCGGCUCAUAACCGAUCGGUCCUGGGUUCGAGUCCCUGAAGGUCCA